RNAcentral lists this ribosomal RNA (1550 nucleotides) under Klebsiella pneumoniae. RNAcentral's name for it is "bacterial SSU rRNA". It matches the Rfam family "Bacterial small subunit ribosomal RNA". The record is from RNAcentral. Lineage: Bacteria; Pseudomonadati; Pseudomonadota; Gammaproteobacteria; Enterobacterales; Enterobacteriaceae.
AAAUUGAAGAGUUUGAUCAUGGCUCAGAUUGAACGCUGGCGGCAGGCCUAACACAUGCAAGUCGAGCGGUAGCACAGAGAGCUUGCUCUCGGGUGACGAGCGGCGGACGGGUGAGUAAUGUCUGGGAAACUGCCUGAUGGAGGGGGAUAACUACUGGAAACGGUGGCUAAUACCGCAUAAUGUCGCAAGACCAAAGUGGGGGACCUUCGGGCCUCAUGCCAUCAGAUGUGCCCAGAUGGGAUUAGCUAGUAGGUGGGGUAACGGCUCACCUAGGCGACGAUCCCUAGCUGGUCUGAGAGGAUGACCAGCCACACUGGAACUGAGACACGGUCCAGACUCCUACGGGAGGCAGCAGUGGGGAAUAUUGCACAAUGGGCGCAAGCCUGAUGCAGCCAUGCCGCGUGUGUGAAGAAGGCCUUCGGGUUGUAAAGCACUUUCAGCGGGGAGGAAGGCGUUAAGGUUAAUAACCUUGGCGAUUGACGUUACCCGCAGAAGAAGCACCGGCUAACUCCGUGCCAGCAGCCGCGGUAAUACGGAGGGUGCAAGCGUUAAUCGGAAUUACUGGGCGUAAAGCGCACGCAGGCGGUCUGUCAAGUCGGAUGUGAAAUCCCCGGGCUCAACCUGGGAACUGCAUUCGAAACUGGCAGGCUAGAGUCUUGUAGAGGGGGGUAGAAUUCCAGGUGUAGCGGUGAAAUGCGUAGAGAUCUGGAGGAAUACCGGUGGCGAAGGCGGCCCCCUGGACAAAGACUGACGCUCAGGUGCGAAAGCGUGGGGAGCAAACAGGAUUAGAUACCCUGGUAGUCCACGCCGUAAACGAUGUCGAUUUGGAGGUUGUGCCCUUGAGGCGUGGCUUCCGGAGCUAACGCGUUAAAUCGACCGCCUGGGGAGUACGGCCGCAAGGUUAAAACUCAAAUGAAUUGACGGGGGCCCGCACAAGCGGUGGAGCAUGUGGUUUAAUUCGAUGCAACGCGAAGAACCUUACCUGGUCUUGACAUCCACAGAACUUUCCAGAGAUGGAUUGGUGCCUUCGGGAACUGUGAGACAGGUGCUGCAUGGCUGUCGUCAGCUCGUGUUGUGAAAUGUUGGGUUAAGUCCCGCAACGAGCGCAACCCUUAUCCUUUGUUGCCAGCGGUCCGGACGGGAACUCAAAGGAGACUGCCAGUGAUAAACUGGAGGAAGGUGGGGAUGACGUCAAGUCAUCAUGGCCCUUACGACCAGGGCUACACACGUGCUACAAUGGCAUAUACAAAGAGAAGCGACCUCGCGAGAGCAAGCGGACCUCAUAAAGUAUGUCGUAGUCCGGAUUGGAGUCUGCAACUCGACUCCAUGAAGUCGGAAUCGCUAGUAAUCGUAGAUCAGAAUGCUACGGUGAAUACGUUCCCGGGCCUUGUACACACCGCCCGUCACACCAUGGGAGUGGGUUGCAAAAGAAGUAGGUAGCUUAACCUUCGGGAGGGCGCUUACCACUUUGUGAUUCAUGACUGGGGUGAAGUCGUAACAAGGUAACCGUAGGGGAACCUGCGGUUGGAUCACCUCCUUACCUUAAAGAA